UUUCCCCAACUUCUCUUAUCUUUGAAUCAAGUCUCCAAUCCAAAUCCCUAAUUCAUUCAAUUCCCUAUUUUCUCCCCCUUCAUCGUGACAAUUCCCCCCGCUUCAAUCGGUCAUUGUCUCCAAGGAUCAAACUGUGGAAAUUGUGAUUGUAGAACAGUAAAAUAUUCCUACGUUGCAUUCUCAACUCCCAUGUUAGCCCACUGAAUCAAGAGUUGUGUCGCAACCUUUUUGUCGAGCACUCGUAUGGGUAAAUCUUUAGAGUGCCAUCAGGAGCCAUUUCUGGAGAUUCGAUUGAAGCCACUCCUCCAAUUCGUUUGAUUUAGUAACGAGCAACUAACUUGAGGUUUUGUCAAAUGGCCACUGAGGUUUGCCUAUACGGCUGAAGCUUAAGGUUAAAAGAAUUGUACCAGUGCAACUAUCGAUUUCAGUAAGGGAG
Long non-coding RNA from Hibiscus syriacus, 436 nucleotides. RefSeq lists it as uncharacterized. The transcript is spliced from 3 exons. The record is from RefSeq and is a predicted model, not a curated record. NCBI's taxonomy places the organism in Eukaryota, Viridiplantae, Streptophyta, Magnoliopsida, Malvales, Malvaceae.